This 2945-nucleotide long non-coding RNA is filed under the name Phoenix dactylifera (date palm). Its description in RNAcentral is "long non-coding RNA (PDAC_LNC001600)". The record is from RNAcentral. Lineage: Eukaryota; Viridiplantae; Streptophyta; Magnoliopsida; Arecales; Arecaceae.
GUAUAAUUUUUUGAUAGGCUUAUGUCAAUGGCAAGCGAAAGUUCAUCUAUUCCUGUGGCGGAUAAUGAGCACGAGGAUUGUUAUGUCGAGGAUGGUAAAGCAAAAUCAAAGGUAUGGAUGCACAUGGUCAAGCUUCCAACUGAAGAUAAGGACAUAUUGAAAGCACAAUGCAAGUAUUGCAAGGAGAUUUUUUCAGCUACUUCUAAGAAUGGUACGUCUCAUAUAUGGUGCCACUUAAAAAGAUGUUCUAAACGUUUUCAUUAUGAUAUAAGGAAUUACACUAUUUCAACUGAAACCACAACUUCUGGAAGCACAUCUUUGCAUUUGAAAAAUCCCAAGUUUGAUUCGGAAGAAGUUCGUAGAGCUAUUUGUAUGUUUAUUGUUGCUGGUGCACAUCCUUUUACAACUUGUGAGGAACCUGGUUUUAAAUAUAUGGUAUCUGUUAUGUGUCCUCAAUACAAAACCAUGAGUAGGCAUACUAUUAGGAGAGAUUCAUUGAAAUAUUACAUGGAUGAAAUGAAGGUUGUGAAGGAGGAGUUAGCACAAGCACCGGGGAGAAUAUGUUUGACUUCUGAUAAUUGGAAAAAUGAUUACACACAAGAUGAAUAUAUUUGCAUCACAGCACAUUGGAUUGACACUAGUUGGAAGUUGCAAAAAAGAAUAAUUAGAUUUGCAGCCUUAACCCCCCCUUUUGAUGGGCUUUCUAUUGCUNNNNNNNNNNNNNNNNGCUUGGCUCAAUGGAAAAUUGAUAGUAAGGUUUUUACCUUGACAUUGGAUAAUGCAUCUUAUAAUAAUACCAUGGCUACUUCUCUCAAGAUUCGUCUUCUUGCAAAUAAAUCUCUCUUGCAUGGUGGUGAUUUUUUUCAAAUUCGUUGUUGCUGCCAUAUUAUAAGUCUUAUUGUGCAAGCUGGUCUGAAUCUCAUUGAUGGUGUUGUUUGUAAAAUUAGAAAUGUGGCCAAGCAUUUGAAAAAUUCAAUUCCAAAGAAGAAGAAGUUUUAUGAAAUUGCUGAAAAAAGUUUUCAUUUGGAUACCAGAAAGAGAUUGCGUUCUGAUUGUUGUGUUAGAUGGAAUUCUACUUUUUUAAUGUUGGACCGUGCUGUUUAUUUCAAGGCAGUUUUAGAUCACUGGGGACAGCGUGAUAGAGAAUUUAGAAUCUUUGCACUUUCUGAAGAAGAGUGGGAAAAAGUAGCUAUUCUUCAUAAAUUUUUGAAAGUGUUUUAUGAUGUGACUAAUCAGUUUUCUGCUAGUAAGCAUCCAACAGCAAAUAUUUAUUUUAGGGGGGUGUGGGAGAUACAUAGAAAAUUGAUAGAAACUGUUAAUGGCCCAUAUGAUUUUAUGGUUGAUAUGGUUAGAGAGAUGCAAGUUAAAUUUAACAAGUAUUGGUCUGAGUAUAGUUUGAUCUUAUCUUGUGCUACAGUUUUGGAUCCCCGUUGCAAGUUAGAGUUAGUUGAAUAUUGUUAUUCUAAACUUUAUGGGGAGGUUAGUGCAAGGGAGAUGGUUCAGAAUAUUAAGAAUACUUUGUAUGAUUUAUUUGAGGAGUAUAUGCUGCGUUCAACUUUAGUCUCUUCUCCCAAGGUUGGAACUUCUAGUGGCAGUGAUGUUGGUAACCAUGAUGCAGAUAGUUUUAAAGAUUAUGAAUUAUUUUUGAGUAAAAAACAAAAGCAUGAUCAUGGGAAGUCACAAUUAGAUGUUUACUUGGAGGAGCAAAAUCUUGGGCUGCUUAUCGAUUUGGAUAUUUUAGUGUAUUGGAGAGAUGCCUCAGGUCGUUUUCCCGAGCUUUCAUCGAUGGCUCGUGAUAUUUUGGCCAUUUCCAUAUCAACAGUUUCUUCAGAGUCUGCCUUCAGUAUGGGUAAAAAGUUGAUAAAUCCUUGGCGAAACUCACUUUCACCAAAGACAAUUCAAGCUAUUACAUGUUAUGAGGAUUGGUUGCGAGCAAAGGGCUUCUCAUUAGGUAAUUGUUUAAAUCUUUGCUUGUUCUUCUAUUUUUUUCUCUAAUAUAUAUUUGAAUAAAAACUAAUUUUCUAUUGUUUCAUAUUUAUUUAUUUUUACAUUUUUUUUAGGACAAUCGGGUGUCUUGGGAGCUAACAUGGAAGAAUCUAGUGAGGAUGAAGAUGACGCGGAAGAGAUGGAAGAGGGAUUACAUGGUUCGGUCAUUUAGAUAUUCUAUUAAUAACUCUAAUAAUUAUUCAUCAAUCAUUAACAAUUGCUAAUGUUUCAAUUUUGUGUUUGUAGGUUUUGAGAAUUAGAAGAUGCAAGCAUGUUCUUCUACAGUUUUCUAUCAUGGAAGUGGCUUCAAGAAUUAUGAUUACAUUUACUUUUGAAUGCACAAAGAUGCAUGUUUGUUAUAAUGUUAAUGGGACAAUGUAAUUUGUAUUUUGUCUAAAUAUGUAGUUGUCUAACUUUGUAGUUUUUAUUGUUGGGUUGUAAUUUUUAGCUGGACAACAGUAUUUCAUACAUUUUAUUUUCUUUCUAUUGGCUUGAAGCUGCAAAUUUUUUCUUUUUAAUGUUUGUAGAAUGUAGAUAUAUUCAAAUUGCAAAGUUUGAAACUAUCACCAACACUAUCUAUUUGAAAUAGGCUAGUUAUAUCCUUAACAUUAAUCAAUUAACCAUUGGAGAAACAAAAUAAAGAUAGAAAAAUACAUCUAGUUUUAGAGAGCUCAUUAAGCUGUUGGGCCAUUUUGGUCCAUUUCUAGAUUCCAAACACACAAAAAAAUCGGACCUGUCGGGUCGGGCCUGGGACCAGAUUUAUAAAGUUGGGUCGGGCUUGGGCAUAGCCAACAGGCCUAAUUUCUGCUGUAGAGCCUGGUCCGGGUUUUGAUCAACUCUAGUCAAAACUGAAGAUCUCACCGGGUUUUGAUCAGCUCUAGUCAAAACUGAAGAUCUCACCUAAAAAAGACUAGCUGGAGUUAUUAUUUAUGUUUUAAUCAUUCAAGCAACACGAUCAA